RNAcentral lists this ribosomal RNA (497 nucleotides) under uncultured bacterium. RNAcentral describes it as "partial 16S ribosomal RNA". It matches the Rfam family "Bacterial small subunit ribosomal RNA", at positions 28 to 507 of the family's 1533-position model. The record is from RNAcentral.
GAUGAACGCUGGCGGCGUGCCUAAUACAUGCAAGUCGAGCGAACGGACGAGAAUCUUGCUUCUCUGAUGUUAGCGGCGGACGGGUGAGUAACACGUGGAUAACCUACCUAUAAGACUGGGAUAACUUCGGGAAACCGGAGCUAAUACCGGAUAAUAUUUUGAACCGCAUGGUUCAAUAGUGAAUGACGGUCUUGCUGUCACUUAUAGAUGGAUCCGCGCUGCAUUAGCUAGUUGGUAAGGUAACGGCUUACCAAGGCAACGAUGCAUAGCCGACCUGAGAGGGUGAUCGGCCACACUGGAACUGAGACACGGUCCAGACUACUACGGGAGGCAGCAGUAGGGAAUCUUCCGCAAUGGGCGAAAGCAUGACGGAGCAACGCCGCGCGAGUGAUGAAGGUCUUAGGAUCGUAAAACUCUGUUAUUAGGGAAGAACAUAUGUGUAAGUAACUGUGCACAUCUUGACGGUACCUAAUCAGAAAGCCACGGCUAACUACGUG